RNAcentral lists this ribosomal RNA (500 nucleotides) under uncultured bacterium. RNAcentral describes it as "partial 16S ribosomal RNA". It matches the Rfam family "Bacterial small subunit ribosomal RNA", at positions 29 to 523 of the family's 1533-position model. The record is from RNAcentral.
AUUGAACGCUGGCGGCAUGCCUUACACAUGCAAGUCGAACGGCAGCGCGGGGGCAACCCUGGCGGCGAGUGGCGAACGGGUGAGUAAAAUAUCGGAACGUGCCCUAAAGUGGGGGAUAACGUAGCGAAGGUUACGCUAAUACCGCAUAAGAUCUAAGGAUGAAAGCGGGGGAUCGCAAGACCUCGUGCUUUAGGAGUGGCCGAUAACUGAUUAGCUAGUUGGUAGGGUAAAGGCUCACCAAGGCGACGAUCAGUAGCUGGUCUGAGAGGACGACCAGCCACCAUGGGACUGAGACACGGCACAGACUACUAGGGGAGGCAGCAGUGGGGAAUUUUGGACAAUGGGGGCAACCCUGAUCCAGCGAUGCCGCGGGUGUGAAGAAGGCCUUCGGGUUGUAAAGCACUUUUGUUCGGGACGAAACGGUUUGGGCUAAUGCCCUGAGCUAAUGACGGUACCGAAAGAAUAAGCACCGGCUAACUACGUGCCAGCAGCCGCCGUAA